Molecule: ribosomal RNA, 428 nt
Filed under: uncultured bacterium
Lineage: Bacteria
Description: partial 16S ribosomal RNA
Rfam family: Bacterial small subunit ribosomal RNA
Source: RNAcentral
GUGGGGAAUAUUGCACAAUGGGCGAAAGCCUGAUGCAGCGACGCCGCGUGAGCGAAGAAGUAUUUCGGUAUGUAAAGCUCUAUCAGCAGGGAAGAAAAAAAUGACGGUACCUGACUAAGAAGCACCGGCUAAAUACGUGCCAGCAGCCGCGGUAAUACGUAUGGUGCAAGCGUUAUCCGGAUUUACUGGGUGUAAAGGGAGCGCAGGCGGCGCGCCAAGUCUGAUGUGAAAGCCCGGGGCUCAACCCCGGGACUGCAUUGGAAACUGGUGCGCUAGAGUGUCGGAGAGGUAAGUGGAAUUCCUAGUGUAGCGGUGAAAUGCGUAGAUAUUAGGAGGAACACCAGUGGCGAAGGCGGCUUACUGGACGACAACUGACGCUGAGGCUCGAAAGCGUGGGGAGCAAACAGGAUUAGAAACCCGGGUAGUCC